UGGGGAAUUUUGGACAAUGGGCGAAAGCCUGAUCCAGCAAUGCCGCGUGUGUGAAGAAGGCCUUCGGGUUGUAAAGCACUUUUGUCCGGAAAGAAAUCCUCUGGGUUAAUACCUCGGGGGGAUGACGGUACCGGAAGAAUAAGCACCGGCUAACUACGUGCCAGCAGCCGCGGUAAUACGUAGGGUGCAAGCGUUAAUCGGAUUACUGGGCGUAAAGCGUGCGCAGGCGGUUUUGUAAGACGGAUGUGAAAUCCCCGGGCUUAACCUGGGAACUGCAUUCGUGACUGCAAGGCUAGAGUAUGGCAGAGGGGGGUAGAAUUCCACGUGUAGCAGUGAAUGCGUAGAGAUGUGGAGGAAUACCGAUGGCGAAGGCAGCCCCCUGGGCCAAUACUGACGCUCAUGCACGAAAGCGUGGGGGAGCAAACAGGAUUAGAUACCCUGGUAGUCCACGCCCUAAACGAUGUCAACUAGUUGUUGGGGAUUCAUUUCCUUAGUAACGUAGCUAACGAGUGAAGUUGACCGCCUGGGGAGUACGGUCGCAAGAUUAAAACUCAAAUGAAUUGACGGGGUCAUAGCUGUUUCCU
This 584-nucleotide ribosomal RNA is filed under the name uncultured bacterium. Its description in RNAcentral is "partial 16S ribosomal RNA". It matches the Rfam family "Bacterial small subunit ribosomal RNA", at positions 355 to 1375 of the family's 1533-position model. The record is from RNAcentral.